CAAGAUGCUCAAUGAUCCUUGAGGCUAUGCAAUGCAAUGCUAUGAUGCCAUGAGGGAUCUUAGGGACAAAAUUGGGGUCUUAUAGAUGCCCCUAUUUAAGGUCAUUCUAGCCGGAGAAGUGAAGGUUAAAAUCUUCGUCUCGACGAGGUAGAAUGGACUUAAAUAAUAACAAAGAGACAAAUUUUGGUCCCUAAGAGACCUCACAAUGCAAAUGUAUGUAGGCAAGACAAAAAAAAC
RNAcentral lists this long non-coding RNA (237 nucleotides) under Lathyrus oleraceus (garden pea). Its description in RNAcentral is "Pisum sativum (pea) long non-coding RNA (PSAT_LNC039003)". Lineage: Eukaryota; Viridiplantae; Streptophyta; Magnoliopsida; Fabales; Fabaceae. The record is from RNAcentral.